GCAUAAUAUGAAAUGCACAAGGUCUUUGGAGAUUAGACUAAAUCGUUAUAGAAUAAUUUUUAAAGGGGUAGAGAAGCCAAGACAUAUUCCCCCGAUGGAGGCUGGACACUGGUGAUGGUGGAGAGGGAACACAGAGACCGAAC
This is a long non-coding RNA of Etheostoma spectabile (orangethroat darter), 143 nucleotides long. RefSeq lists it as uncharacterized. The transcript has 3 exons. The record is from RefSeq and is a predicted model, not a curated record. NCBI's taxonomy places the organism in Eukaryota, Metazoa, Chordata, Actinopteri, Perciformes, Percidae.